RNAcentral lists this ribosomal RNA (3528 nucleotides) under Triticum aestivum (bread wheat). Its description in RNAcentral is "partial small subunit ribosomal RNA". Lineage: Eukaryota; Viridiplantae; Streptophyta; Magnoliopsida; Poales; Poaceae. The record is from RNAcentral.
AUGCAGCAGGACCGAGCUCGUCUCGCGCACGGUGCAGCAGGACUGACCUCGUCCCCCUCUCGGUGCUGCAGGACCGAGCUCGUCUCGCGCGCGGGGCAGCAGGGCGGGUUGGUGGAUGCCAGCUCUGGCCGGCCUAUUGGGUCUCGACGCUGGGGUCGCCCAGGGGUGGGAAAGGUGGGACCUUUCCGCUCGUUCCUUUCGUUGGUGUGCGUGUGCGGCUCCAAGGGAAACUCUGAUCCUUGGAUCGGGCGGUGGCGGCGCUCCGGUGCCGUUCCCUUCCUGAAGGCACAGCCUUGGAGCACAUGGUUCAUCAUAUGUAGCUUCAUCUCUUGGUGGUGGCACAGCCUUCAGAAUCUAGUUUGUGUUCGUAAACUUUCUCAUGAUAACUCUGUAACUGUGGAAUUUGACGAAGUUGGUUUUUCUGUUAAGGACGCCCUCACCCGGAUGGUUCUUCACCGCUGUGACAGUCCCGGCGAUACAUACUCCGUCCAGCCUCCAUCAUCCUCACAUGCUGGACCAGUUGCACUUUCCGCCGGCGUUGAUCUCUGGCACGCACGUCUCGGUCAUCCUAGCUCAACCGCUCUUCGUCAUAUUAUUAGGGAUUUUUCUUUUACAUGUAAUAAAACGGAUGCGCACUCUUGUCACGCAUGCCGUCUGGGCAAACAUGUUCGCCUUCCCUUUAGUACUUCAUCCACAGUUGCGUCGUUACCCUUCGAGUUAAUCCAUAGUGAUGUUUGGACCUCUCCUGUUGCUAGUAACACUGGUUUUUCAUAUUAUCUUGUUAUCUUGGAUGACUUUUCUCAUUUUGUGUGGACCUUUCCAUUACGUAAGAAGUCUGAUGUUGCUGCCACUCUCACGGCUUUCUACUCUUAUGUCGCCACACAAUUCGGUCGUCCCAUUCUAGCUUUGCAAACUGACAACGGGAAAGAAUUCGACAACACUACCAUCCGCAACCUUCUCUCCACCCAUGGCACUGUUUUCCGUCUUACCUGUCCAUACACCUUACAACAGAACGGUCGGGCCGAACGCAUCCUUCGCACUAUCAACGAUUGUGUUCGCACUCUCCUUUUUCAUGCCUACAUGCCACCCCGCUUCUGGCCUGACGCUCUCGCUACUGCCACUCUCCUCAUAAACCUUCGUCCAUGUCGUACCCGGUGGAACUUCACACCUCACCACCUUCUCUUUGGGUCUCCUCCUUCAUACGACGGUCUUCGUAUAUUUGGUUGUCUUUGUUACCCUAGUAUUGUCGCCACCUCUCCUCAUAAACUUGCUCCUCGUUCUCUUCCGUGUGUUUUCCUCGGUUACCCGGCUAACACCAAAGGCUAUAGAUGCUAUGACCCGGUUUCCCACCGUGUCAUCACAUCCCGGCAUGUUUAUUUCGACGAGUUUUCUUUUCCUUUUAAACAGGAACAGCAGGAGGCUUCUUCAUCGGCGCCCGGUCCCUCCUUGGCCGACCCCAUCCGCCCUGGUUUCCCUAACCGGCGUAGGGUGCCCCCUGGACGUGCGGCGCUUCGGCUCCUGCCCGCUGCUUCUCCAGCUGCGCCGGCCUCCGAGCCGGCCUCCGAGCCGGCCUCCGCGUCGGCCACCGAGCCGGCCUCCCAGCCGGCUCCCGCGUCGGCCUUCACACCGGCAUCCGCGCCGGCCUCUCCGGAGCCGGCCUCCCAGUCGGCCUCCACGCCGGCAUCCGCGCCGGCCUCUCCGGCCGCUUCGUCGCCGGGCUUCGCGCCGGCCUCUGCGCCGGUCUCCCCGGCUUCAUCGGCUUCACCGCCCACUGCGUCGGCUAGCUCGCCGGGAUCGCAGCCGGGCGCGUCGCCGGCAUCUUCACCACCAGGCUCGGCGCCAUCAUCGGUAGAGGCUGCUGUGCCACCGCCUGCUGGCCCUGUCACGCGGUCGCGGCUCGGCGUCCAUCGGCCCAACAACCGUUACCCACCGGACGUGUACACCUGCGUCGCUUCGACUUCUUCAUCGCCAUCACCCUUGCCGACCUCCGCCCGUUCCGCGCUUCGUGACCCCAUGUGGUUCGCCGCGAUGAAGGAGGAGUUUGAUGCAUUGCAACGCAAUCACACCUGGCAGCUCGUCCCCCGUCCUCCUCGGGCCAACGUCAUUACCGGGAAGUGGGUGUUCAAGCACAAGUUUCAUCCGGAUGGUACUCUCGACCGACACAAGGCUCGUUGGGUCGUUCGAGGUUUUCGUCAACGAGCAGGUGUUGAUUUCACCGACACCUUCGCCCCGGUUGUCAAACCCGGCACGAUUCGGACUGUUCUUCAGCUCGCGGUCUCUCGCUCAUGGCCUGUGCACCAGAUGGAUGUUUCGAAUGCUUUUCUUCAUGGUCACCUUGAGGAACAGGUGUUCUGUCAGCAGCCGACUGGAUUUGUUGAUGAGUCCUCUCCAGAUCAUGUGUGUUUGCUCUCUCGGUCUUUGUACGGCCUUAAGCAAGCUCCUCGCGCCUGGUACCAGCGCAUCGCAGCUUUCCUCACUCAGCUUGGCUUCCGCUCCACUCGCUCCGAUGCUUCGCUGUUUGUCUACCACCAGGGUGAUGCUACUGCCUACCUUCUGCUCUAUGUUGACGACAUCAUCUUGACAGCAUGCUCGCCUGCUCUUCUUCAACAGCUCACUGAUCGUCUUCGUGCUGAGUUUGCCAUUAAGGAUCUAGGUCCUCUGCACUAUUUCCUCGGGAUCGAGGUUAUUCGUCGAGCAAAUGGCUUCUUUCUUCAUCAGCGGAAGUAUGCUCAUGAGCUUCUGGAUCGUGCCGGGAUGCUUAACUGCAAAUCGGCUGCCACACCUGUUGAUACGAAGGCCAAGCUCUCCGCCACUGAUGGUUCUCCUGCUUCAGAUGCUCCCUUCUACAGGUCGAUUGUUGGUGCUCUUCAGUACCUCACUCUUACUCGUCUGGAGCUCCAGUACGCUGUGCAGCAGGUUUGCCUCCAUAUGCAUGCUCCACGUGAUGCUCACUGGACCGCGGUCAAGCGCAUUCUGCGCUACAUCCGUGGCACCUUGGAUCUCGGAUUGUCACUUCAGGCUUCAUCAUCUUUGGACAUGACGGCUUAUUCCGACGCCGAUUGGGCCGGCUGCCCUGACACGCGCCGCUCGACCUCUGGUUAUUGCGUCUAUCUUGGACCAUCUCUCAUCUCCUGGUCGCCCAAGCGGCAGCCUGUUGUCUCCCGCUCCAGUGCUGAAGCAGAGUACCGCGCCGUUGCCAACGUCGUCGCUGAGUGUUCCUGGCUUCGUCAACUGUUGCAUGAGCUUUUGUCUCCGGUGGACAAGGCUACUAUUGUCUACUGUGACAAUGUUUCUGCAGUCUACCUCUCCGCCAACCCGGUUCAUCAUCGCCGCACCAAGCACAUUGAGAUUGAUAUCCACUUUGUUCGGGAACAGGUCGCUUUGGGUCAUGUACGUGUGCUACAUGUCCCUACGUCCCAACAGUUUGCUGACAUCAUGACCAAGGGCUUGUCUACUGCGUCUUUCGAGGAGUUCCGUUCCAGUCUUUGCGUCGACCAUGGUGCCGCUUCGACUGCGGGGGGGUGUUGA